CAUCAUUAGUAUUAGAGGCACUGCCUGCCCAGUGACACUAGUUUAACGGCCGCGGUAUCCUGACCGUGCAAAGGUAGCAUAAUCAUUUGUUCCUUAAUUAGGGACUUGUAUGAACGGCCCCACGAGGGUUUAACUGUCUCUUACUUUCAAUCAGUGAAAUUGACCUUCCCGUGAAGAGGCGGGAAUAAAAAAAUAAGACGAGAAGACCCUAUGGAGCUUAAAUUAAUAUGCUCAACAGAAUUUAAACUUAGCCCGACAGGAAUAAUUAUAAUUUAACUGAGCAAUAAAUUUUGGUUGGGGUGACCUCGGAGUAUAGCAAAACCUCCGAGUGAUUAUAACCAAGACUUACCCGUCAAGGUUACAUAACUUAUUGAUCCAAUCACAUUGAUCAACGAAACAAGUUACCCUAGGGAUAACAGCGCAAUCCUAUUUAAGAGUUCAUAUCGACAAUAGGGUUUACGACCUCGAUGUUGGAUCAGGACACCCAAAUGGUGCAGCAGCUAUUANAGGUUCGUUU
This 517-nucleotide ribosomal RNA is filed under the name Crocidura denti (Dent's shrew). RNAcentral's name for it is "partial 16S ribosomal RNA". It matches the Rfam family "Bacterial large subunit ribosomal RNA", at positions 1835 to 2578 of the family's 2925-position model. The record is from RNAcentral. Lineage: Eukaryota; Metazoa; Chordata; Mammalia; Eulipotyphla; Soricidae.